UACGGAGGAUGCGAGCGUUAUCCGGAUUUAUUGGGUUUAAAGGGUGCGCAGGCGGGACGCCAAGUCAGCGGUCAAAUUUCGGGGCUCAACCCCGACCUGCCGUUGAAACUGGAAGUCUUGAGUGCACGCAGGGGUGCCGGAAUUCAUGGUGUAGCGGUGAAAUGCUUAGAUAUCACGAAGAACUCCGAUUGCGAAGGCAGCGUACCGGCUCCAUACUGACGCUGAGGCACGAAAGCGUGGGGAUCGAA
Molecule: ribosomal RNA, 248 nt
Filed under: uncultured Muribaculaceae bacterium
Lineage: Bacteria; Pseudomonadati; Bacteroidota; Bacteroidia; Bacteroidales; Muribaculaceae
Description: partial 16S ribosomal RNA
Rfam family: Bacterial small subunit ribosomal RNA
Source: RNAcentral